RNAcentral lists this ribosomal RNA (97 nucleotides) under uncultured bacterium. RNAcentral's name for it is "partial 16S ribosomal RNA". It matches the Rfam family "Bacterial small subunit ribosomal RNA", at positions 1386 to 1482 of the family's 1533-position model. The record is from RNAcentral.
CACACCACCCGUCACACCAUGGAAGUCUGCUGCACCAGAAGUAGGUAGUCUAACCGCAAGGGGGGCGCCUACCACGGUGUGGCCGAUGACUGGGGUG